CCCUCUAGAACAUGGCCCAUUUUCCUGCAAACAACCGUUCCUAAAAUCCAUUUAACAACCAACAGGCAGUGGGAAUCAAGAAAAGCCGAUCAAUCGACUAUUUGAGGCCUUACGGAUCUGUUUUGCAGUCCGGAUGGUCCUGGAGUAAUGACUUAGAGUGAUCUGUGAACCCUUUUGUAACAACCAUAGUUGUUUCCUGUCUAGGGAUAACAUGCGUUAGUGCUAGCCACCUACUUCUUAGCACCGGGAAUAAAACCGGGAGGGGUUCGAAUCCCCUCUGCAAGAUGCGUGGCCAUGGAAUUCCAACCUCCAUGACUGGCGCAAGGUUCCCUUCUCUUGUCGAUUGCUAGCUUAGGAGGAGCCAUAAGAACCCAUCCGCAAUCUCCCCCUGGGGAUAAUGGUCAAUUUCAUCGAUCGAGGGAAUCGAUGGAAACAUUCCCUGGCAAGAGGGGUAAUAGACUUGAGUUACAAAGGACAAGAAGGCACAGAUUGUGGAAGAUCUUCCGAUGCUAGGCGGAAGACACCACUGGGCGGAUCCCACGGGGGUCCGUCCUGCGACAGUGACCGACGCGACGCUAUACCGGAAAGGCCCCUCGGGGUGUUAGAAAGUGUAGGAUGUGUACAGAGCAGUGCUUGGAAAGGGUUGUGCUUCGGGCAAACACCUAAAAAGGUUUUCCCCCGAACCCCCUUUCCAAAAAAGAUGGAACGGAACUGGAACCUAACUUUGGUGAUUAUCUUCAGUGGUUAGGUUCCAAGAACUAUAGUAUAACUCAUUAGCUACACCCCCGCCCUCAGGGUGAAGGUGUUCCCCCCGAGACCCCCCUUCUGGUUUUGGAUUACGAGUUUCCAAGGGACCGGAGCCGACUUGGGAUUAUAAAAGAGUUAUACUUGUUCUGCCCGACCUUCGGGAUAGUGAAUCCUUCCUGCCAGGAAGGCUUCCCUCUCCCUUUGGUCUCCAGGGAUAAGAAGUUCCAUCACUCUGCUCUGCUUCCCGGAAAUCCGGUUAAGAAGAAUGCAUAUUCUACACUUUCCGGGAAGCAGAGCAGAGAGAACAGAGCCCUCGCCCCGGAGGGGCUAAUUCUUGUAGUGAAGAGAUAAAGAAACAUAGAACUUGUGUAUUCCACCAGAGAUGCUCUGUUUUCCACCAGAGAAGCUAUGUUUCUUGUCCUUACAGUGGCAUCCCUAAGGGAUGUCUUACUACCCUUCGAGUCCGAUCUCAGGGUAGCGCUUAGGCGGGGGCCCCAUACCCAUGGGGUUUAGUAGUAGAUUUAUCGAGGGAUUUACCUCGAUCAAUCGGGGUGGCAUCCCAGAGGGAUGGUCUUGUCUUGUAUUAAUGGGAAUUCCUCCCUUUGGUCGGAUACUUAGAUCAUCUAUUUUAGUGGUGCCUUUGGUCACCUCUAAAAUUAUAGGAUUGGCAGGUGAAAUAAGAAUAAAGGAAUUUCUCUCGAAACCCGGUUGGGUUUCUAGCUCGAUUUACUAGGCGAUAUGAGGGUUUUCCAACUCGAGGUACAAACCCCUUAAGACCUAUCCGAACUCUCGAUAGAGAGCCCUCUAGAACAUGGCCCAUUUUCCUGCAAACAACCGUUCCUAAAAUCCAUUUAACAACCAACAGGCAGUGGGAAUCAAGAAAAGCCGAUCAAUCGACUAUUUGAGGCCUUACGGAUCUGUUUUGCAGUCCGGAUGGUCCUGGAGUAAUGACUUAGAGUGAUCUGUGAACCCUUUUGUAACAACCAUAGUUGUUUCCUGUCUAGGGAUAACAUGCGUUAGUGCUAGCCACCUACUUCUUAGCACCGGGAAUAAAACCGGGAGGGGUUCGAAUCCCCUCUGCAAGAUGCGUGGCCAUGGAAUUCCAACCUCCAUGACUGGCGCAAGGUUCCCUUCUCUUGUCGAUUGCUAGCUUAGGAGGAGCCAUAAGAACCCAUCCGCAAUCUCCCCCUGGGGAUAAUGGUCAAUUUCAUCGAUCGAGGGAAUCGAUGGAAACAUUCCCUGGCAAGAGGGGUAAUAGACUUGAGUUACAAAGGACAAGAAGGCACAGAUUGUGGAAGAUCUUCCGAUGCUAGGCGGAAGACACCACUGGGCGGAUCCCACGGGGGUCCGUCCUGCGACAGUGACCGACGCGACGCUAUACCGGAAAGGCCCCUCGGGGUGUUAGAAAGUGUAGGAUGUGUACAGAGCAGUGCUUGGAAAGGGUUGUGCUUCGGGCAAACACCUAAAAAAGGUUUUCCCCCGAACCCCCUUUCCAAAAAAGAUGGAACGGAACUGGAACCUAACUUUGGUGAUUAUCUUCAGUGGUUAGGUUCCAAGAACUAUAGUAUAACUCAUUAGCUACACCCCCGCCCUCAGGGUGAAGGUGUUCCCCCCGAGACCCCCCUUCUGGUUUUGGAUUACGAGUUUCCAAGGGACCGGAGCCGACUUGGGAUUAUAAAAGAGUUAUACUUGUUCUGCCCGACCUUCGGGAUAGUGAAUCCUUCCUGCCAGGAAGGCUUCCCUCUCCCUUUGGUCUCCAGGGAUAAGAAGUUCCAUCACUCUGCUCUGCUUCCCGGAAAUCCGGUUAAGAAGAAUGCAUAUUCUACACUUUCCGGGAAGCAGAGCAGAGAGAACAGAGCCCUCGCCCCGGAGGGGCUAAUUCUUGUAGUGAAGAGAUAAAGAAACAUAGAACUUGUGUAUUCCACCAGAGAUGCUCUGUUUUCCACCAGAGAAGCUAUGUUUCUUGUCCUUACAGUGGCAUCCCUAAGGGAUGUCUUACUACCCUUCGAGUCCGAUCUCAGGGUAGCGCUUAGGCGGGGGCCCCAUACCCAUGGGGUUUAGUAGUAGAUUUAUCGAGGGAUUUACCUCGAUCAAUCGGGGUGGCAUCCCAGAGGGAUGGUCUUGUCUUGUAUUAAUGGGAAUUCCUCCCUUUGGUCGGAUACUUAGAUCAUCUAUUUUAGUGGUGCCUUUGGUCACCUCUAAAAUUAUAGGAUUGGCAGGUGAAAUAAGAAUAAAGGAAUUUCUCUCGAAACCCGGUUGGGUUUCUAGCUCGAUUUACUAGGCGAUAUGAGGGUUUUCCAACUCGAGGUACAAACCCCUUAAGACCUAUCCGAACUCUCGAUAGAGAGCCCUCUAGAACAUGGCCCAUUUUCCUGCAAACAACCGUUCCUAAAAUCCAUUUAACAACCAACAGGCAGUGGGAAUCAAGAAAAGCCGAUCAAUCGACUAUUUGAGGCCUUACGGAUCUGUUUUGCAGUCCGGAUGGUCCUGGAGUAAUGACUUAGAGUGAUCUGUGAACCCUUUUGUAACAACCAUAGUUGUUUCCUGUCUAGGGAUAACAUGCGUUAGUGCUAGCCACCUACUUCUUAGCACCGGGAAUAAAACCGGGAGGGGUUCGAAUCCCCUCUGCAAGAUGCGUGGCCAUGGAAUUCCAACCUCCAUGACUGGCGCAAGGUUCCCUUCUCUUGUCGAUUGCUAGCUUAGGAGGAGCCAUAAGAACCCAUCCGCAAUCUCCCCCUGGGGAUAAUGGUCAAUUUCAUCGAUCGAGGGAAUCGAUGGAAACAUUCCCUGGCAAGAGGGGUAAUAGACUUGAGUUACAAAGGACAAGAAGGCACAGAUUGUGGAAGAUCUUCCGAUGCUAGGCGGAAGACACCACUGGGCGGAUCCCACGGGGGUCCGUCCUGCGACAGUGACCGACGCGACGCUAUACCGGAAAGGCCCCUCGGGGUGUUAGAAAGUGUAGGAUGUGUACAGAGCAGUGCUUGGAAAGGGUUGUGCUUCGGGCAAACACCUAAAAAAGGUUUUCCCCCGAACCCCCUUUCCAAAAAAGAUGGAACGGAACUGGAACCUAACUUUGGUGAU
RNAcentral lists this long non-coding RNA (3828 nucleotides) under Setaria italica (foxtail millet). Its description in RNAcentral is "long non-coding RNA (SITA_LNC007535)". Lineage: Eukaryota; Viridiplantae; Streptophyta; Magnoliopsida; Poales; Poaceae. The record is from RNAcentral.